AAAAGAUGAUAAAGGAAUGGUAGUCUUUGGGAACACCUUGUUAUUAUGAAAUUCAAUACGAUAUAAUGAUUAAUAAAUUCCCUGAACUACACAAAGUGUUCCCAAUGACUAUCACUCCUUUAGCACAUCUAU
RNAcentral lists this microRNA precursor (132 nucleotides) under Marmota monax (woodchuck). Lineage: Eukaryota; Metazoa; Chordata; Mammalia; Rodentia; Sciuridae. The record is from RNAcentral.